GGGCGUGUGGUCUAGUGGUAUGAUUCUCGCUUUGGGCGACAAUCUAGGAAACUAGAUUAUUAACUACAAGCAUGCGAGAGGCCCUGGGUUCAAUUCCCAGCUCGCCCC
Molecule: transfer RNA, 108 nt
Filed under: Debaryomyces hansenii
Lineage: Eukaryota; Fungi; Ascomycota; Pichiomycetes; Serinales; Debaryomycetaceae
Rfam family: tRNA
About the family: Transfer RNA (tRNA) molecules are approximately 80 nucleotides in length. Their secondary structure includes four short double-helical elements and three loops (D, anti-codon, and T loops). Further hydrogen bonds mediate the characteristic L-shaped molecular structure. tRNAs have two regions of fundamental functional importance: the anti-codon, which is responsible for specific mRNA codon recognition, and the 3' end, to which the tRNAs corresponding amino acid is attached (by aminoacyl-tRNA synthetases). tRNAs cope with the degeneracy of the genetic code in two manners: having more than one tRNA (with a specific anti-codon) for a particular amino acid; and 'wobble' base-pairing, i.e. permitting non-standard base-pairing at the 3rd anti-codon position.
Source: Rfam by way of RNAcentral